Mytilus californianus (California mussel) is the source of this 353-nucleotide long non-coding RNA. RefSeq lists it as uncharacterized. NCBI's taxonomy places the organism in Eukaryota, Metazoa, Mollusca, Bivalvia, Mytilida, Mytilidae. The transcript is spliced from 3 exons. The record is from RefSeq and is a predicted model, not a curated record.
AUCCGACAGUCACUAUUGGUGUAUGUGUGCCUGACAGUUGUUCUAAGAAGGACGUACAAAAUUUGCUUCGUAAAUUUUUAUAUGAGAAUGUAUCAACCGAAUUGACAGCCAGUAUACAGACCUGUGUAGAAACAGACAUACCAUACGAUUCUAGGGCUCAAAUAGUACUGGUUGUGAUAGGACUGUUUAUUUCCGCCAUGUUACUCGGAACCGGAUAUGACCUCAUUGUUAUACAAUGGCCGAAAUGGCGACGGAUAGAAGAAAUCACAUCAAGUGAGGAGAUCGCAAUCGAAGCAAGUGAAAAACAGCAAUUGAUUGAAGGAACUAAAUCACGCAUCAAAGAAUAUCAACCC